RNAcentral lists this ribosomal RNA (465 nucleotides) under uncultured bacterium. RNAcentral's name for it is "partial 16S ribosomal RNA". It matches the Rfam family "Bacterial small subunit ribosomal RNA", at positions 338 to 795 of the family's 1533-position model. The record is from RNAcentral.
CCUACGGGUGGCAGCAGUGGGGAAUAUUGCGCAAUGGGCGAAAGCCUGAACCAGCGACGCCGCGUGAGGGAUGAAGGUCUUCGGAUCGUAAACCUCUGUCAGCAGGGAAGAACGGUCACUGUGCUAAUCAGCAGUGAAUUGACGGUACCUGCAAGGGAAGCACAGGCUAACUCCGUGCCAGCAGCCGCGGUAAUACGGGGGGUGCGAGCGUUAAUCGGAAUUACUGGGCGUAAAGCGUGCGUAGGCGGUAUGUCAAGUCUAGGGUGAAAUCCCCGCGCUCAACGUGGGCACUGCCUUGGAAACUGGCAAACUGGAGUGGGCGAGAGGAUAGUGGAAUUCGAGGUGUAGGAGUGAAAUGCGUAGAUAUGUGGAGGAACACCAGUGGCGAAGGCGACUAUCUGGCACAUAACUGACGCUGAGGAGCGAAAGCGUGGGUAGCAAACAGGAUUAGAUACCCCUGUAGUC